UCUGUAAGUUUCUGACUUACGCAUUUGAGGAUCUCUAUCGGAGCCAACUCCGAUUAAAAAUUUAUUUUGUAGGUUCGAUCACCAUCACUUUACUGAUUGUCGUCCAACUCUAGCCAAUCCAGCCUAAGUCGAAAAACUGCAGCAGCACCAUUGAUCAAAGCUUUUACCUGACCAUGACCAGUGGAAAGAGAGGGUCCAAUAGAAUUAUAGAUGGGACAUGGACUCAAUAA
Molecule: long non-coding RNA, 230 nt
Filed under: Elaeis guineensis (African oil palm)
Lineage: Eukaryota; Viridiplantae; Streptophyta; Magnoliopsida; Arecales; Arecaceae
Description: long non-coding RNA (EGUI_LNC042882)
Source: RNAcentral